AUUGAACGCUGGUGGCAUGCUUAACACAUGCAAGUCGAACGGUAACAGGUCUUCGGAUGCUGACGAGUGGCGGACGGGUGAGUAACGCGUAGGAAUCUGCCCAUCUGUGGGGGAUACCAGUUGGAAACGACUGUUAAUACCGCAUAAUAUCUGCGGAUUAAAGGUGGCCUUUGCGCUGCCGCAGAUGGAUGAGCCUGCGUUGGAUUAGCUAGUUGGUGGGGUAAGGGCCUACCAAGGCUACGAUCCAUAGCUGAUUUGAGAGGAUGAUCAGCCACAUUGGGACUGAGACACGGCCCAAACUCCUACGGGAGGCAGCAGUGGGGAAUAUUGGACAAUGGGGGAAACCCUGAUCCAGCAAUGCCAUGUGUGUGAAGAAGGCUCUAGGGUUGUAAAGCACUUUAGUUGGGGAGGAAAGCCUGUGAGUUAAUAGCUUGCAGGAAGGACGUUGCCCAAAGAAUAAGGACCGGCUAACUCCGUGCCAGCAGCCGCGGUAAUACGGGGGGUCCGAGCGUUAAUCGGAAUUACUGGGCGUAAAGGGUCUGUAGGUGGUUUGUUAAGUCAGAUGUGAAAGCCCAGGGCUCAACCUUGGAACUGCAUUUGAUACUGACAAACUAGAGUAUGGUAGAGGAAUAGGGAACUUCUGGUGUAGCGGUGAAAUGCGUAGAGAUCAGAAGGAACACCAAUGGCGAAGGCAACAUUCUGGACCAAUACUGACACUGAGGGACGAAAGCGUGGGGAUCAAACAGGAUUAGAUACCCUGGUAGUCCACGCUGUAAACGAUGAGUACUAGCUGUUGGAUUCGGUGUAAAGGAUCUAGUGGCGCAGCUAACGCGUUAAGUACUCCGCCUGGGGACUACGGCCGCAAGGCUAAAACUCAAAGGAAUUGACGGGGACCCGCACAAGCGGUGGAGCAUGUGGUUUAAUUCGAUGCAACGCGAAGAACCUUACCUGGUCUUGACAUCCUGCGAACUUUCUAGAGAUAGAUUGGUGCCUUCGGGAACGCAGUGACAGGUGCUGCACGGCUGUCGUCAGCUCGUGUUGUGAAAUGUUGGGUUAAGUCCCGCAACGAGCGCAACCCCUAUUGAUAGUUACCAUCAUUAAGUUGGGUACUCUAUUGAGACUGCCGCUGACAAGGCGGAGGAAGGUGGGGACGACGUCAAGUCAUCAUGGCCCUUACGACCAGGGCUACACACGUGCUACAAUGGGUAUUACAGAGGGCUGCGAAGGUGCGAGCUGGAGCGAAACUCAGAAAGGUACUCUUAGUCCGGAUUGCAGUCUGCAACUCGACUGCAUGAAGUCGGAAUCGCUAGUAAUCGCAGGUCAGAAUACUGCGGUGAAUACGUUCCCGGGUCUUGUACACACCGCCCGUCACACCAUGGGAGUGGGUUGCUCCAGAAGUAGAUAGCUUAACGAAUGGGCGUUUACCACGGAGUGAUUCAUAACUGGGGUGAAGUCGUAACAAGGUAGCCGUAGGGGAACC
RNAcentral lists this ribosomal RNA (1480 nucleotides) under Francisella orientalis. RNAcentral's name for it is "16S ribosomal RNA". It matches the Rfam family "Bacterial small subunit ribosomal RNA". Lineage: Bacteria; Pseudomonadati; Pseudomonadota; Gammaproteobacteria; Thiotrichales; Francisellaceae. The record is from RNAcentral.